CAGCAUAGUAAAAUGCCUGUUUCCAUUCACCACAUUUAUUGGUUGGUGAAAUUCCAGUUCCAGCACCCACUCCCAGAGCGCCCUAAGUUGGAAUUCUCACUGACUCAACAAAAACUCUUCCUGGGACUCGCAUCCAGUGUGCUUACGGGCACUGUAAUGAGGCAGAGUGGCCUCAUUCCAGCAUAGGGGGGACGAAGAUGCUCCAAAGCCAGUCUGGAGAAACAGCCAGUCGCCGCCCCAGGAGAUGGAAGACCCCAGAGAGGAAGCGCCGAGGGAGCAUUCGGCAUGGAGACGGAGAACCACGCCACAGCAGCCAUGGAACAACCCAACAAGACACCACCCACAGGCAGGACCCCAGGCUACAGACGACUUACUGGCCUAGCCCAGAUCCAGGAGGGACUGAGCUACCACUUUCCCCUGCAGCUUGGCUGCAAACCAGGACAACUGAUCUCUCCACUCAGCACAAGCACCAAUUCUGCACUGCCGAAGAGGUUGCCCCAGAAGAGACUCAAGGAACCUUACAGUCACCAAGACCCAGUUCUGAUCCUUAGAUCCCUACCUUGAAGAGGCUGCAAUCUUGUCUAUGAAGCACCAGGCA
Molecule: long non-coding RNA, 598 nt
Organism: Mauremys mutica (yellowpond turtle)
Lineage: Eukaryota; Metazoa; Chordata; Testudines; Geoemydidae
Exons: 3
Source: RefSeq, a predicted model, not a curated record